CACACACACACACACACACACACACACAUGCAGGAAGAGUGAGCUGUGUGUGGUAGUAGCAGUAGCCCAGCUGUGUGCUGAUGUGGCUCUUCUGUCAUGUAGGGGUCACGACCUCUUUAGCCCUUAGCCCUGCUAACCCUUGGCUGCACAGACGUCACGGGUCAGACCCGAGAGCUCAUCUCACCCUUGGGUGCACAGACGUCACGGGUCAGACCCGGAGAGCUCACCUCACCCAGGCUGGAGAACCGCAUUGCUGGUGCAUCUCACUCAUGUUGUAUGUAUCUGUGUGUUUGAGCGUGUGUGUGCAAUAUUGAAGCAAUAUAUCAAUUCGAGGCGGCGAGAAGCCAUUAAGGUGUGUCCUAUGGUGGACCACUGCAGUCAGUGAUGGUCACUGAUGAAGACCACUGCAGUCCGUGAUGGUCACUGAUGAAGACCACUGCAGUCCGUGAUGGUCACUGAUGAAGACCACUGCAGUCCGUGAUGGUCACUGAUGAAGACCACUGCAGUCUGAGUCAGUGAUGGUCACUGCUGAAGACCACUGCAGUCAGAGUCAGUGAUGGUCACUGCAGUCAGUGAUGGUCAUUGGUGAAGACCACUGCAGGCAGAGUCAGUGAUGGUCACUGGUGGAGACCACUGGCCUAGUGAUGUGGAAGGUCACUGGUCAAAAUGGCUAUGGUCUCUCCCACUGAGGUGCUCCGGUGAGCAGCUCUGCAGGCAGGUUGCGUUGCACUCCGUGGGCUGGGAGGCGCAGGGAAGGAGGCGCAGGUUCCCUGGAGGCUCCAGAGCUGCGUUGAUGAGGAGAGGAGAGGAGCUACCGCCAGGACGACACGCAUGUUACACUGGAAUCCCCCCCACCCCCCAAUCACUACUUACGGAUGCUGGGGUGCCCAGCUGAGAGAUAGACUCAGCGGAUCGACACUUACCCCACCCCACCCCCGAAGGAAUGCCUCACCGUAAUCUAACCCCCCCCCCCGAAGGAAUGCCUCACCGUAAUCUACUUGAAUCUACAGGAGAUCUCUAAGACACACAAUGCUACAUUAAAGGACAAACAGGAGCCAAGGCUAAACCAGCUCCUCAGCAGAGGCUAGACUGUAGAAUCUGUGUGUGAGCGUGUGUGUCUGUAUGUGUCCGUGAGCGUGUGUGUGCGUGCGUGCGUGUGUGUAUAUGUGUGUUGUUCUUAGUAAGAGAAUUUACUGGAGCACUUUGUUUCCAAGGAAGUGAAAAGGAAAUGUGUGGAGAUAAGAGGAGAGGAGAGGAGAACUGUACCUUUGCUGCUGGUCUAGGAGGCCCAGCGCCGCCCGGUCGGACUCUCCCAAUGAUGGGGUCCGUGGAGCCGCCCGGUCGGACUCAGAGAACACCUUCAUGUGGUUGUUUCACGAGCUUUAUUUCAAGAAGUCAAAUAGGAGUUAGAGAUUUUUUAAAGUGGUUUGACGAUGCAACCAAUAUUCUGUUAAAUGUGAUAGUGUUCAGUGUGCCUUUUCUUCCUUUCUUUCUUCCUUCCUUUCUUUCUAAAUUAAGAUUUGAAGAACUUUAUUUUUCAGCUCGAUUCCUCUCUCAUUUUUUUUAUGUUGGAAUUCCUACAGAACACGUGCGAGUCGACCCAGGUUUUUCCAGAGGUACAAAACCAAAGUCUCCUCCGAAGUCUGUCAGGACGGCGCCACCAUGUGGUGCCUGGACUUCUUUGUUAGCUUUUUCCACAGUGUACUUUUUUCUUUUGGUUGUUUGUUUUGGUCAAUCAGUAUAUGCCGUUGAAAAGUAUUCUAGCAAUAUUUCUUGAAUCCUAGUUCUAAUGAAUAUGAGAAUAGUGAACGUACUACAGAAUCAUAAUCACACCCUUGCUGGCAAACACCAUUCAGUUUGACAUCCAACUUUACAUUAACCUUCAUGGUCACCACACAUAAGCUAACUUGCUGUAG
Clupea harengus (Atlantic herring) is the source of this 1916-nucleotide long non-coding RNA. Lineage: Eukaryota; Metazoa; Chordata; Actinopteri; Clupeiformes; Clupeidae. The record is from Ensembl.